This is a long non-coding RNA of Hyalella azteca, 534 nucleotides long. RefSeq lists it as uncharacterized. The transcript is spliced from 2 exons. Lineage: Eukaryota; Metazoa; Arthropoda; Malacostraca; Amphipoda; Hyalellidae. The record is from RefSeq and is a predicted model, not a curated record.
CAUGUCUAAACUUGAAUUAAUUUCCGGCGGUAUUGUCUCCAUUGCCGUGCUUACCUGUGCCCACUUGCAUUCGCCAUAUAGAGGUUAACCCGCAACCUCGAGAUUUCAGCUCUGCCAGCCGGCCCAGCCGUCCCAGUUCAUCACCAACUAUCACCGCAUGACGACCUCCUCUACACACUACUUCAACGCGUGUACGGAUCGCUCCGUAUCUGUGUAUUUGGAUCUUCGCGUAAGGAUGGAGAGCAGCUAGUCCUUCUUCGGUCAACUCCGUCAGCGAGGUGGCACUCCAUAGAGCCGCUGGCACCCGACGGCGCGCAGGAGGCCGACUACGUUGAAUGCUGCAGUCUGCGUCGUCUGUGGAACUCGAUGCAAGCCUACUGCGGUAGAGGCAUUCACCUCUUGUUAACCGCGUGCGAUGCAGCGGCGGCGCACCAACACUCUCGACGUCCUCGGGAAGUUUGCCGCUGCUUCGAUGUGCGAUUGAGGCGGCGCAGCUCGUAACCAUCACGAUAAAUAUAAUUAACUUUGAUUCAU